This is a long non-coding RNA of Ficedula albicollis (Collared flycatcher), 1769 nucleotides long. RefSeq lists it as uncharacterized. NCBI's taxonomy places the organism in Eukaryota, Metazoa, Chordata, Aves, Passeriformes, Muscicapidae. The transcript has 2 exons. The record is from RefSeq and is a predicted model, not a curated record.
UCCCCCCACCUACAAAAUGAACAACAAAAUCUCCUGGGAUUGUUAAAUAUCAGCAAAUCGACGGCAUCUUUUUGUUGUUUUAUUUUUAUUCCCCCUCUCCCCCUCCCCGUCUCGUUUUGGAUUGUGAAUGGCUGGUGUAUAUUCACAACUUAAUGAGCUUUGGUCAUUGUGGCACCUACUUCAGUGGAAUUAGUGUCUCUCUUUGGGCUGAUUGGAGGACUGCUAUUUCACAUUGACUUGGAAAUUCCUGACAAUGCAUAGGAGCACUUUGAUUUUUUUUUUUUUUCCCCUGCUUUUUUCUCUUGCAAGGACAAAACGACUGCUGGCUGGUAUCUGGGAUACUGCCCUGGGAUGCAUCCAGAGCUCUGAGCAGACAUGGCACCCACGGGUGCUUGGAAAGGAGUAGGAUCCAACCAAUUCCUAAAGGAAAACAAAGUUGUGGCUACUUUCUGCUGACUAGGAAGUAAAAAUCAAUCUUUCUUGGGUUCUUUGAGGGUUGUUUUUUUUUUUUAAAGAUACUCUGUCAAGGUGGUGCUGGAGUCUUGCUACUGUAUGUGUUCGUUGUGCAGAACUCGUCAAGUAAUUUCCUUCAGUUAUUUCCUUAUUUCCCAAGAGGGAUUUUCCAGCUGCACUCGGUUCCUGGGCAUUUCAGUCCCAUCCCUGCUGCCAGGUGUGGCUGUUCCCUCUGGAUGUGCACUUGCUUGGAGGCUGGAAGAGUUAUUCCCACAGAAAUAGGAAAAUUGCUGCAGUUCUGUCAGCUUUUCCCUUUUGAAGGGGCUGUUUAUCCCAUUCCAGCAGAGACACUGGGAAAUCCUGGCUCCCACUGGGAGGUGGCUCUUCAUUGUGAUCCCUCCCUCCUUCCUGAGCAGAAUCUUUCUCUUUUUUUGUUGUUGAAACAGAGACCUGGAGAUGUCUGAUCCCCCAGGGCAGAGGUGUGAGGGUGUCUGAGAACAGAUCAGAAAUGGUACAAAAAGAAAUUCUUGCCUCUGCCACUGAGAGAGAUCCAGCCUGGAGCUCCUCAAAAAGAAAUUCUUACCCUGCCACUGAGUGAGAUCCACCCUGGAGCUCCUCAAAAAGAAAUUCUUACCUCUGCCACUGAGUGAGAUCCACCCUGGAGCUCUUAAAUAAAAAAAAUCCUUCCCCUGACUCUUUCUCCUACUGAGGAGCUCUGACUGAAGCAACUGCUGUUGAAUAUCCCCAAGAUUUAAUUUGUGGCUGUUUUCUGCUCUGAGGCUCUGGAAAUUAAAUCCAGGAAGUUUCAGUGAUGUUUAGGAAGGUUUUUUAAGGGAUGGUGAGCACCCUGUGCCACAGUGGCUCAUGUGAUGAGACACGAGCUGCAGCCACUCAGUGGCAUCUGACCAUUCCUCAGUUCAAUCCUCUUUUGUGAGAUCCCUGCUGCUGGCAGGACUCAGCAAAAUCAGGCUUUAAAUCAGCAUUUUCUUCACUGGUAAGGAGCUUCUUUUGGUCUGUUUUGUGCUUUUUGGGUGAGUACCCAAGGUGGAUGUGAAGAGAGAACAUCUUUCUCUCUAUCCACACACACAGUUCAUUUCUCACCCUGAAAACUGCUUCUUCAAAAUGUCCAUUUCAUUCUGAUUUUUCACUUCUUUCCUUUUUGCCACCUCUGUGUGCAAACACCUCCCUUUGUCACAGACUCCAGAUGUUUGUGGUAAUGGGAGACUCCAUUUCUCCUUCCACAGGGAGCCAGGAAUUUGGGAAACUCUGUCACUCAGCCCAUUUCUGGGCUCCUAAAUGAAUUCUCUUUACAAAAA